Molecule: small nuclear RNA, 140 nt
Organism: Cynocephalus volans (Philippine flying lemur)
Lineage: Eukaryota; Metazoa; Chordata; Mammalia; Dermoptera; Cynocephalidae
Product: U11 spliceosomal RNA
Exons: 1
Source: RefSeq, a predicted model, not a curated record
AAAAAGGGCUUCUGUCGUGAGUGGCACACGUAGGGCAACCCAAUUGCUCUGCGUGCGGAAUCGACAUCGACAAGAAGGUGGUAAUAAAAUAACAUUUUAGAACAAUCUUUUAAAAAAUAUUAUAUAUAUUAUAUGUAUAU